GACGAACGCUGGCGGCGUGCUUAACACAUGCAAGUCGAACGGAAAGGCCCUGCUUUUGUGGGGUGCUCGAGUGGCGAACGGGUGAGUAACACGUGAGUAACCUGCCCUUGACUUUGGGAUAACUUCAGGAAACUGGGGCUAAUACCGGAUAGGAGCUCCUGCUGCAUGGUGGGGGUUGGAAAGUUUCGGCGGUUGAGGAUGGACUCGCGGCUUAUCAGCUUGUUGGUGGGGUAGUGGCUUACCAAGGCUUUGACGGGUAGCCGGCCUGAGAGGGUGACCGGCCACAUUGGGACUGAGAUACGGCCCAGACUCCUACGGGAGGCAGCAGUGGGGAAUAUUGCACAAUGGGCGGAAGCCUGAUGCAGCAACGCCGCGUGCGGGAUGACGGCCUUCGGGUUGUAAACCGCUUUCGCCUGUGACGAAGCGUGAGUGACGGUAAUGGGUAAAGAAGCACCGGCUAACUACGUGCCAGCAGCCGCGGUGAUACGUAGGGUGCGAGCGUUGUCCGGAUUUAUUGGGCGUAAAGGGCUCGUAGGUGGUUGAUCGCGUCGGAAGUGUAAUCUUGGGGCUUAACCCUGAGCGUGCUUUCGAUACGGGUUGACUUGAGGAAGGUAGGGGAGAAUGGAAUUCCUGGUGGAGCGGUGGAAUGCGCAGAUAUCAGGAGGAACACCAGUGGCGAAGGCGGUUCUCUGGGCCUUUCCUGACGCUGAGGAGCGAAAGCGUGGGGAGCGAACAGGCUUAGAUACCCUGGUAGUCCACGCUGUAAACGGUGGGUACUAGGUGUGGGGUCCAUUCCACGGGUUCCGUGCCGUAGCUAACGCUUUAAGUACCCCGCCUGGGGAGUACGGCCGCAAGGCUAAAACUCAAAGGAAUUGACGGGGCCCCGCACAAGCGGCGGAGCAUGCGGAUUAAUUCGAUGCAACGCGUAGAACCUUACCUGGGUUUGACAUGGAUCGGGAGCGCUCAGAGAUGGGUGUGCCUCUUUUGGGGUCGGUUCACAGGUGGUGCAUGGCUGUCGUCAGCUCGUGUCGUGAGAUGUUGGGUUAAGUCCCGCAACGAGCGCAACCCUUGUUCACUGUUGCCAGCACGUUAUGGUGGGGACUCAGUGGAGACCGCCGGGGUCAACUCGGAGGAAGGUGGGGAUGACGUCAAGUCAUCAUGCCCCUUAUGUCCAGGGCUUCACGCAUGCUACAAUGGCUGGUACAGAGAGUGGCGAGCCUGUGAGGGUGAGCGAAUCUCGGAAAGCCGGUCUCAGUUCGGAUUGGGGUCUGCAACUCGACCUCAUGAAGUCGGAGUCGCUAGUAAUCGCAGAUCAGCAACGCUGCGGUGAAUACGUUCCCGGGGCU
RNAcentral lists this ribosomal RNA (1346 nucleotides) under uncultured bacterium. RNAcentral describes it as "bacterial SSU rRNA". It matches the Rfam family "Bacterial small subunit ribosomal RNA", at positions 28 to 1381 of the family's 1533-position model. The record is from RNAcentral.